Molecule: ribosomal RNA, 348 nt
Filed under: uncultured bacterium
Lineage: Bacteria
Description: bacterial SSU rRNA
Rfam family: Bacterial small subunit ribosomal RNA
Source: RNAcentral
GAAUUCACUAGUGAUUCAGGCCUAACACAUGCAAGUCGAGCGGUAGAGAGAAGCUUGCUUCUCUUGAGAGAAGCGGACGGGUGAGUAAUGCCUAGGAAUCUGCCUGGUAGUGGGGGAUAACGUUCGGAAACGGACGCUAAUACCGCAUACGUCCUACGGGAGAAAGCAGGGGACCUUCGGGCCUUGCGCUAUCAGAUGAGCCUAGGUCGGAUUAGCUAGUUGGUGAGGUAAUGGCUCACCAAGGCGACGAUCCGUAACUGGUCUGAGAGGAUGAUCAGUCACACUGGAACUGAGACACGGUCCAGACUCCUACGGGAGGCAGCAGUGGGGAAUAUUGGACAAUGGGCG